UACGUAGGCAGCGAGCGUUGUUCGGAGUUACUGGGCGUAAAGGGUGUGUAGGCGGUUGUUUAAGUUUGGUGUGAAAUCUCCCGGCUCAACUGGGAGGGUGCGCCGAAUACUGAAUGACUAGAGUGCGGGAGAGGUGAGUGGAAUUCCUGGUGUAGCGGUGAAAUGCGUAGAUAUCAGGAGGAACACCGGUGGCGAAGGCGGCCCUCUGGACGGAUACUGACGCUGAGGCGCGAAAGCGUGGGGAUCAAACAGG
This 253-nucleotide ribosomal RNA is filed under the name uncultured bacterium. Its description in RNAcentral is "partial 16S ribosomal RNA". It matches the Rfam family "Bacterial small subunit ribosomal RNA", at positions 524 to 776 of the family's 1533-position model. The record is from RNAcentral.